GGCCGCAUUGAUCGACUGGGUAACUCAUCAAGUAAUUAAGAAAACCGAGACACGCUUCCGUAUUUAAUGGCGGGCCACAACCUUCGGGUAUUCGUAUUACGGAUCAGUGGAUUACAAAGAGUUCGGGGCACUCAAAUCAUGUCAAUCGGAGUUUCAUCGCAUCAAUCAGUGCGGCUUCCCAU
This is a small RNA of Bacteroides coprosuis DSM 18011, 182 nucleotides long. It matches the Rfam family "Bacteroidales-1 6S-Bacteroidales RNA suggested". Lineage: Bacteria; Pseudomonadati; Bacteroidota; Bacteroidia; Bacteroidales; Bacteroidaceae. The record is from Rfam.